Molecule: long non-coding RNA, 1307 nt
Organism: Bos indicus x Bos taurus (hybrid cattle)
Lineage: Eukaryota; Metazoa; Chordata; Mammalia; Artiodactyla; Bovidae
Source: Ensembl
GAUCUCUCCAAAAUUACCAAAAGCAUAGAAAAAGGGUCUUUUCCCCAGGUCUCCUUCAAUUAUCUCAAAAAUGCCUUGUUAGCAGCAACAGUUCAUCUACCCAAAUCUAAUGCCUUCCUGCUUUUUCAUAGGCAAUUUAACAUAGUGUAACAAAAACAUCAGUGGAUCACAAGUCAAGAUUUAUGGGACUGCCAAGUGAUAUUGUGAGUAAGAUUGAGAUAAGGCUUUAAUAAGCCCGCCCAUUCAUACAGUAAAUCAGUCCUCAGAUGAGACGUAUUCUCAUGACCAGUGGCCAGUAUUACUACUAUUUCCUUUCUCUGGCAUCUGGUGACCACCUCCUGCCCACUGUUUUCCUUUCCCACAAAACCAAGGCUUGCUUCUCAACCCCUCGCUUGGCUUCCUGCAGUUUCCUGAGGUGUACUUCCCAGGCUAUCCAUUUCAGAGCUCCCAUCUCUCCUCAGUUCAGUUGUUAGGCUUUGCUCUUUCUCAAGAACUGCCACUGCUGGUUCUCCACAACUCCCUGCCUUUCUACUGCCUUCCCCUCAGCUGCGAUGGCCCCAGCUUUCACAUCCCACUCAGUGUUUUACCAAAUGAGUCAUCACUCGCAUUUUUCUGCUUGUGUCACUUACCCUUGAAAAAGCUUAGCUUGAAGUUCUCAUUGAUGAACCAUUAAGGACCAAGCCUGUUGCUCCAGAUCCCAUGCUCCAAAUGCUGCAGAAACUGACAAGAACUGUGGUACUACACUUUCAGUCAAGAGCUCCCUGAUGUGUCCAAUAUGCAAUAUGGGCUUCCCUGGUGGCUCAGUGAUAAAGAACCCGCCUGCCAAUGCAGGCGAUGUGGAUUUUAUCAUUGCAUCUGGAAGAUCCCCUGAAGAAGGAAAUGGCAACCCACUCCAGUAUUCUUGCCUGGGACAGAGGAGCCUGGCAGGCUACAAUCCUUGGGUGAGUUGCAAAAGAGUCCGACAUGACUUAGCAACUAAACAACAACAGACGACAAUAUACACCAUGUACAAUUCUUUGAAGUUGUGACCUCAAAUGUGCUACUUAUAAGGAUUUAAGAGUAGACAAUCUGGUUGUAUCUAAGGUCCUGCAGCUCAAAGUUCUUAUUGAUAAACAUCAACAGCAGCAUCUGAGAGUUUGGUGAAAAUCCAAAGUCUCAUGUGCCUUCCCAGAUCUACUGAAUCAGAAUCUGCAUUUUAACAAGAUUCCCAAGGGAUUCACAUUCGCAGUGAAGAUUAAAAAGCACUGCUCCAGAGGGCUCAUCUUUUGCUUAUGCCCUGUAACAAUUUUUUUUUAACUUUUUAUUUU